This 492-nucleotide ribosomal RNA is filed under the name uncultured bacterium. Its description in RNAcentral is "partial 16S ribosomal RNA". It matches the Rfam family "Bacterial small subunit ribosomal RNA", at positions 29 to 507 of the family's 1533-position model. The record is from RNAcentral.
AGUGAACGCUGGCGGUAGGCCUAACACAUGCAAGUCGAACGGCAGCACAGUAAGAGCUUGCUCUUACGGGUGGCGAUUGGCGGACUGGUGAGGAAUACAUCGGAAUCUACUUUUUCGUGGGGGAUAACUUAGGGCAACUUACGCUAAUACCGCAUACGACCUACGGGUGAAAGCAGGGGAUCUUCGGACCUUGCGCGAUUGAAUGAGCCGAUGUCUGAUUAGCUAGUUGGCGGGGUAAAGGCCCACCAAGGCGACGCUCCGUAGCAGUUCUGAGAGGAUGAACAGCCAAACUAGAACUGGGAGAACGUCAAAGGUCUUAGAGAGGGAAGCAGGGGGGAAUAAUAGGCAAAGGGGGCAAGCCUGAUCAAGAAAAAAAGCGGGGGUAAAGCAAGACCUCGGGUUGUAAAGCCCUUUUGUUGGGAAAGAAAAGCAGCAGGUUAAUAACCCGCUGUUCUGACGGUACACAAAGAAUAAGCACCGGCUAACUUCGUG